AGCGAACGCUGGCGGCAGGCUUAACACAUGCAAGUCGAACGAUCCCUUCGGGGAUAGUGGCGGACGGGUGAGUAACACGUGGGAACGUGCCUUUAGGUUCGGAACAACACAGGGAAACUUGUGCUAAUACCGGAUGUGCCCUUCGGGGAAGGAUUUAUCGCCUUUAGAGCGGCCCGCGUCUGAUUAGCUUGUUGGUGAGGUAAAGGCUCACCAAGGCUACGAUCAGUAGCUGGUCUGAGAGGAUGAUCAGCCACACUGGGACUGAGACACGGCCCAGACUCCUACGGAAGGCAGCAGUGGGGAAGUCUUGCGCAAUGGGGGAAACCCUGACGCAGCCAUGCCGCGUGAAUGAUGAAGGUC
RNAcentral lists this ribosomal RNA (360 nucleotides) under uncultured bacterium. Its description in RNAcentral is "bacterial SSU rRNA". It matches the Rfam family "Bacterial small subunit ribosomal RNA", at positions 29 to 416 of the family's 1533-position model. The record is from RNAcentral.